AGUCAAGCGAUAAAAAGAAAUUAUUUCCUCUUAUAAGCAUCCAGACAAAGCCAAGUCCACAAUCACAUUAACCACUUUUAUUAGCAAGAUCAUGGAGAGGUUGAAGAGGUUUUGCUUCCAUGAAGUAAGCUUCACUGAUCGAGAUGGUCCGUUAAGAACAUCCGGAGUGCCGGUGGUGCAAGAACUCAGCCGUCGAGGAGUUACCUGCCUGCCUGAUAGGCGUGCAAUGGAGACUUAUGUGAUCAAGCCCAACAAGUCCUGGAAUCCCUGGUCGAAUCCUUUUCCUUGGAGAAGAACGUGCUCCUCCAGGCAUUCGAUCCUGGAAGAUCUGAGAUGAACACAGGGUAAACUACUACCCGCCCUGCCCAAGGCCUGACCUGGCGCUGGGCCAUCCACCCCCACGCUAAUGCAAGUGCCCUGACCCUCCUGUUCCAGCUUGAUGCCGGCACCGGCGGCCUCCAGGUGCUCACUCGGCAGGGCCCACAGAGUUUGAGGACCGUUGAGUGGCCCAAAGGUGCACUGCUUGUGAGUGCUGGGGAUUUGCUUGAAAUCAUGACUGAUGGGAAGGUCAAGAACCCGUGUCACAGGGCCUUGAUCCACUGCAAUGUGGAAUGCAUCUCCAUCGCGUUGUUCUACGAUCCACCCUUGGAUGCAGAGAUUGUGCCCCUGAAAGGAGCGACUGGGAGGUAUAGGAGGGUCGUGGUGGACGACUAUUUAAGGCAUGUGUAUAAGAUUAGCCCUACUAAGAAUUAAGAAGCUAUAUCGUAUGCCAGACAAGAAACUUAAGCUAGCGCCAAGUUUUUUGGUUUACAUGCUGUCAAGUCAGGAAAAAAACUGUCACCAGAAAGAUGUUCGUUCUCAUAUAAUUGUUUGUACAUCGCAAAUAAGAUGGGAGCAAUUUUCCAGCAUCCUGAUAUGGAUGCAGAAAAAGUUGUUAAUGUUAGUCAUGUCAAAGGCAUUUGUCGGA
This is a non-coding RNA of Punica granatum (pomegranate), 967 nucleotides long. NCBI's taxonomy places the organism in Eukaryota, Viridiplantae, Streptophyta, Magnoliopsida, Myrtales, Lythraceae. The record is from RefSeq and is a predicted model, not a curated record.